UAAGAAACUUUUUCGAGAGUU
Non-coding RNA from Caenorhabditis elegans, 21 nucleotides. The record is from Ensembl. NCBI's taxonomy places the organism in Eukaryota, Metazoa, Nematoda, Chromadorea, Rhabditida, Rhabditidae.